GACCCAGUGGCGAAGUGGUAUCGCGUCCGCUUAGAUCUUCCGCGGAAGACACCCGUUCGAUUCGGGCCUGGGUCA
Mycena latifolia is the source of this 75-nucleotide non-coding RNA. The record is from the annotation of a GenBank genome assembly. NCBI's taxonomy places the organism in Eukaryota, Fungi, Basidiomycota, Agaricomycetes, Agaricales, Mycenaceae.